CCCCUACAAGAGAUAUCAAUC
RNAcentral lists this microRNA (21 nucleotides) under Selaginella moellendorffii. Its description in RNAcentral is "smo-miR1085-5p". The record is from miRBase by way of RNAcentral. Lineage: Eukaryota; Viridiplantae; Streptophyta; Lycopodiopsida; Selaginellales; Selaginellaceae.